AUGGCUGGCCAGUUUAAAGGCACGAGCGGCAGCUCCGCUCCUCAGAACGACUACUGCUCAUCUUUAUCUAGCAACAAGAUUGUAAGCGAGAGAUUACCAAGUGAGUCUUCAACUCAUACACCUGGAGGCAAAGUUGAAGUUGAAAUAAAGUAGCGUGUCGGCCAUUUCGAUAUUUUGGCUUGGACCCAGACGUCUAGAAGACACCUACAAGAUGAAAAUGCGUUUGGCGACCAUCUUUUCGAUUGCCAUCCUUCUGGGUAACUCUGGCAAGCUCCGAGGUCAACCUGCUGAGUCACAU
Acanthaster planci (crown-of-thorns starfish) is the source of this 298-nucleotide long non-coding RNA. Lineage: Eukaryota; Metazoa; Echinodermata; Asteroidea; Valvatida; Acanthasteridae. The record is from RefSeq and is a predicted model, not a curated record.